GUCUAUGGCCAUGCUACCCUGAACAAGCCCGAUCCCGUCUGAUCUUGGAAGCUAAGGAGGUUCAGGCCUGUUUAGUAUUUGGAUGGGAGACCACCUAGGAAGACCAGGUGCUGUAGGCA
RNAcentral lists this ribosomal RNA (119 nucleotides) under Pteropus alecto (black flying fox). Lineage: Eukaryota; Metazoa; Chordata; Mammalia; Chiroptera; Pteropodidae. The record is from RNAcentral.